GUAGGGUGCGAGCGUUAAUCGGAAUUACUGGGCGUAAAGUGUGCGCAGGUGGCCGAGCAAGUCGAGUGUGAAAUCCCCGGGCUUAAUUUGGGAAUUGCGCUCGAAACUACGUGGCUCGAGUGUGGCAGAGGAAGGUGGAAUUCCACGUGUAGCGGUGAAAUGCGUAGAGAUGUGGAGGAACACCGAUGGCGAAGGCAGCCUUCUGGGCCAACACUGACGCUCAUGCACGAAAGCGUGGGGAGCAAACAGGAUUAGAUACCCUGGUAGUCCACGCCCUAAACGAUGAUGACUAGUUGUUGGGGGAGUUAAAUCCCUUAGUAACGCAGCUAACGCGUGAAGUCAUCCGCCUGGGGAGUACGGUCGCAAGAUUA
RNAcentral lists this ribosomal RNA (371 nucleotides) under uncultured bacterium. RNAcentral's name for it is "bacterial SSU rRNA". It matches the Rfam family "Bacterial small subunit ribosomal RNA", at positions 527 to 896 of the family's 1533-position model. The record is from RNAcentral.